Molecule: long non-coding RNA, 22907 nt
Filed under: Vitis vinifera (wine grape)
Lineage: Eukaryota; Viridiplantae; Streptophyta; Magnoliopsida; Vitales; Vitaceae
Description: long non-coding RNA (VVIN_LNC003063)
Source: RNAcentral
UGUUUUUGUUUUUAUUUGUAAAAUUUGCAUCUUUGUUGUUUAUGAAUUUGAUUUUUCUGGAAUGUUUUCCAAGUUUGGGAAGCUCUGGAUGGUUCUGAGGUCGUGAUACAAUGUUUCUUUUUUGGCUUUAAUGGAGGAAUCUUUGGAAAUAUUCUGUAUUUGGGGUGGAAUUAAGAUGGUGGUAGAAGGUGGGGUGUUGAUUAAAGCUCACUGAGCUGCUUGAUUGCCAAGGGAAGCCUUGAAAAAUGUGGUCAUGGGCAAUGGGUUUCUUGGUUUGUUUUGUUCAGUAAGGUGGCAUCAGGAAGUUUUAGAAGAGUUGGGAGUCUAUUACAAGUCUUAGCAAAAUUUCUGUACUGGGGUGGGAUAGGAAUGGUGAUAAAGAUGGGGUGUUGAUUAGAGCUCUACGAACUGCUCAAUUGCCAAGGGAAACCUCAAAAAAUGUGGUGAUGGGCAAGGGGUUUUUGGGGUUUGCUUUGUUCUGUAAGACGGCAUCUGGAAUUUUAGGAGGCUUGGAGUCUAUUAUAAAUCUUUGGGCAAUGGGUUUUUCGGGUUUGUUUGGUUCAGUAAGAUGGCAUCUGGAAAUUUUAGGAGUUGGAGUCUAUUACAAAUCUUUGGAAAUAUUCUGUGUUGGGGUGGGAUUAGAAUGAUGGAAAAGGUGGGGUGUUGAUUAAAGCUCAGCGAGCUGCUUAACAGUGAAGGCAAACUUAGAAUAAUGUGGAGAUGGGCAAUGGGUUUUUCGAGUUUGUUUUGUUCAGUAAGGUGGCAUCUGGAAAUUUUAGGAGAGUUGGAGUUUGUUAUGAAUUCCUUGCGUGUGGAUUUUAGAACGUUUGUGGCAUUAAUCUUUCUCUCUCUCCAAGAGCUUGGAGCAGAAGCUAUCUAGUUAUUGUUUUUCUCUUUGGUGAUUUGUCCGCAGAAAAUAUCUCGGGCGAUUUGAGAAUUUUCAAAUGAGGAUUAUAUAGGCUAUUGCACUAAAGAUAGAUGGUUAACAGAUCUGUAGAGUUGAAUAUGGCUAAGGGAAAAUUUUUUUGGGGCUUGGGAAGCAAUGGGGUUGAAGAAACUAGUGCCUAUCCACACAAAUAAGAUUGGAUUCUGUUUACUAGUAUUGCUCUGCAUCAACAAGGAAGCACUAGGGAGCUACUUGUAUUAUUUGUGGAGCCAGAUUGCUUUUGCUUUGGGGAGCCAUGCAAUUUCUACAACCUUAGUGCAGCUAUCAUUCUUUUCUCACCCCCCUUGACUUGUGUUCUGUUUAGUUUUCCUCCCAACUUAAAUCAAAUUACUUCUUUCUGCAGGUGCAUUUAUUGGUCUUUGUGGUACAUGAUUGCACCAUCACAGUCAAUUUCCCCAGUUUUCCACAAUUCAUGUUGCAUCUAGCUUCUCGUAGAUCCACUCAUCCUUUUCUUCCAUGAUUGAUGUUUGCAUCACCACUUUAGCUUUUCUAGUUUUUUGGACUUAUUAUGUUGAUUUCGAUCAUUCAGAAGCAUAAAACAGAGCUGGUCUUAUGAUUGUCUCAGUAAAGAACUUUUCGUCAUAUCUGUCCCUCUCCCUUUAUGGCUUUAAAUAGUUCUAACUCAGAAUUGAAUUGACCCUUAAUCUAGUUUCAUUUGCCAAAGUAGAUCUCCAGCAAAUAUUCUUCAUGGGAUCUAUCUUGAACCAUGUGGGAAUUAAUGUUAUUUAUUCUUUUGAAUAUGCUAAUUACUAGAAAUUUGUAGCUUAGGUGAAUAGUAAUAGAGUCCACACUUGGUUUAUUUGUUGCUCUAUCCUUCAAAACAUUACGAUUACUUAGAUGAGGUCAAAACAGUUUUGCUGGACUAGGAUACUGACUUGUCUUAUAUUUUGUUAAUUGAAUUACUACAUGGGUAUUAAGUGUUUUAAUGAUUCCUUGUUAGUGUUACCUGAUGAAAUGGUCCUCAUUGCUUAGCUGGUGGCCGGUUUUACAGGUCCUGUACCAGAGAAGACUGUUUGCUAUACAUUUAGUAUACUCGUCAGUUCAUGGUUGGAGCCUUUUGCCUCCGAAUUCCUGGAUUAAUUUCUCUCUGACAUUGAAUUGAACAGAAUUCCCGGUUGAUGGGUUUCUGUUUCUGAAAUUGGUGGAUAUAGCGGGGACAAAUAUUCUUUUGUAGGAAGAAGUGUUAUGGCAUUUCUUUUCUCAUUCUUUGUUAUUGAAAUAUGACUCCUGCAUAGAUAUGGAGAUUGUUUUGUGUUUCUUGCUGGAUUUUUGACUUUAUCAAAACUUAAAUCUUGAUUACAUUUGGAUACUUUGUCAUUGACCUGUAACUUAAUUGAAACUCCGCCACCUAUAUCUUAUUAUAGUUAUCAAAUUGAAAGUUUUCUGCAGAACUGUAGCAAAUUGCAGCCUUCAGUUUGGCAGGUGGAUGAAUGGUUUUUCUCCCUUCUGAGACCAUGAAUCACCAUAGUGUUCUAUCUGCAAAACAAACAGAGUCUACUAAAGGUUUUACUCAGUCUUACUGUGCUGCAGUAUCCCCAAUUCAUAACUUACUGAAUGUCGAGUUAGAAGGUCAAAAUUCAUUCAAGAGUGAUUGUUCAUCUUCACAUUCACGUUUUACUCAAACAGAAUUACCUGGUCCCGCCAAUUUCAUGCAAGCAUCUGUAGUUCAGCCCCAGAAGCUUUGCUCAAAAUCUGGACCAUAUAGCUCUGUGUCUUCUGAUACUGAUGCUCAAUAUCCCAAAUGCACAUUUUCUCGUUCUUCUGUGUUUUGUACCAGCUUAUACCUGUCAUCUUCAUCAAGCACUGAAACCCAUCGACCACUUGGAAAUCUUCCAUUUCUUCCUCAUCCAUCAAUGUCCUACCAGUCCAUUUCUGCUGUUCAUUCAACAAAAACUCCAUUUUUGAGUGGGGAUUCAAGCGGUUUAUAUGAUGAGGGGAAUUCAGAGGAUAUGAUGAAAGGCUUUCUCAAUUUGUCCAGUGAUGCUUCAGAUGAGAGUUUUCAUGUUAUGAAUUGUGCAAGUGACAAUAUAACAUUUUCAGAGCAAUUGGAGUUGCAGUUUUUGUCUGAUGAACUUGAUAUAGCUAUAGCUGACAACGGAGAAAAUCCCAGACUUGAUGUAAGUGCAUUUUAUUUGGGAAUAUUUUUUGGUUUUCUAAUGAUAUAUUUUCAACUCUGAUUAAACAUGCAAAGUAUAAGAAUGGCACCAUAAUGCCACCACUACCCUAAGUCAACCUGAUUGUUUAGACAUGUGAUUGCCUUUUUCUUUUGGAAUCACCAUUUGGUGAUAAUCUAGAAGGAUGGAUUGAAUGAGAUGUUUAGAGGUUUUUUGUUUGGGUUAAAUUUAAAAUAGAAGAUCUCAAGGAGGGUGCAGUUAAAUGCUGUUGGGACCUGCCUCAGGUGGCAAGGGGACGGUGGUGGGAGUUGAGAGUUUCCAAGUUCUAUUUCAUGAACCCAAAAGGGAAAGAAAACAUCACCUGUCAAAACAAAAAAAGGAGGGGACAAUUAAAUAAAGUAGAAAAUUUCGAGGGACUAAUAAACAUACAAAGGUUUAUUUUGCUUAUGUACCGUAUAUUCUGUGUGCCACUCUAACUGUUGCAUAAUCUUCUGCUGAUUAGUUCCUUGCUUUUUUUGUUGUUGAUGUUCAUUUUGUUCAGGAAAUAUAUGAAAUGCCUCAAGAUUCAUCAACACCAGCCAUGGCAUUAGGACUGACAGUCAAUCAAAAUCAUCAAUCUGUUGCACCAUCUACUGAUGCUUCAUCAGGUCAACCCUCUCCAGGGGCUGCUGCUGCACACAAGCCAAGAAUGAGAUGGACCCCUGAGCUCCAUGAGCGUUUUUUAGAGGCUGUCAAUAAGCUUGAGGGGGCUGAAAGUGAGUCCAAUAUUUUUUCUGUUAGGCAAGUGGGGCUUAGUGUUUACUUCAUUGCGGGAAGAUGAGUGUAUGACUAAUUCUGUAGUUUCAAUUGCAAUAACAGUAAUCAAGUUGGAUAUGAAUAAUUCAUGAGUUUAUAACAUUUUUUUUCCUGUUUUACGAGGCUUACCUAUUUUGCUUUGGAAUGUAGAGGCAACACCAAAGGGAGUAUUAAAGCUUAUGAAUAUUGAAGGUUUGACCAUUUAUCAUGUGAAAAGCCACUUACAGGUAUCAUUCUGAAUUUAUUUAGUGGGUUACAUUAAAAUCAAAUCCAGUCUUACUCAGUUUGAGUUUACAGUGUUAUAUGUCAUUUUUUUUUGUUUUGCAGAAAUACCGGCUUGCUAAGUAUAUGCCAGAGCGAAAGGAAGGUAAUUAAUGCAUUAGGAAGGAGUCAUAUUGCCAUCAUCAAUCUUCAGAAAAGGAAAAUUCACUAUUAUUAUUGAUAUUAACAUUCGACCAUUUUUGCUUUUCUAACACAUUUUUUCUUAGCCUUGCCUUCCUGAGAGACCUUAAUUAUCUUCAUGCUCUUGUUGCCACUGGUGUUUCAUUUUGCAUGUUGAGGUCAUCUAAACAAACAGUCCAUUAUCUACUAGCAUGCUUGAAAAACCAUUAGAUCUUUGUAAUAGCUGCUCUAACCUUAUGAGUGUUUUUCAUAGUUUUUUAAUUUUCUAAUUCGCAAGUUUAUUGAGAACUGUAUGAUGCUCUUUUACAUGUAAUGUAUGAGCCCUACUGUUAGAUUUCUUAUAAUUCAGUCAAUUAGCAUUCUCUUUGCUUGCCUCAUCAGUCAUUCGUGUUUACAUAUUCAUGAUGGUUACCCAUUUUAUGAACAUUAUGGUAGCUGGUUUCAUUAUAAACUCACAUUCUGAUGUUUAAAAGAAGUGUUUGGUAGCAGUAUCAUACACCUAAAAUUGCUGCUUUCUUGAAUUAUCAUGGGCUGAACAACAUUACAGUGGGACAUUUUCCUUUGUGCCCAAUGUUUAUAUUGCAUUUAACAUAUAACAAGAAUAGGCACAGGUUUUAGAAUUCUUUGGAGCUUAGAAUACGUUCAAGUGCCCAUAGGAAAACAAGUUUGUGCAUAGAGUUGUUAAAGGUGAUUUCUUUGUUCCCCUUUUAUGUUUUCUCCUCGGUUUAUGCCUUAUCCAUGGUGCUGCGAGGCAAGACUUACAAAGCAGAGGGUGGAAUCUUCUUGAGUAUUGGUUGGGUGGAAAUGCCUGCCUAUUGAGAAAUAUGAGUUAUAGGACUGCGUGGUUUAAUUAUUUAGGGGUUAGAGUCUCUCUCUCUCUCUCUCUUGUUGUUUGUCCUGGUGAAGCGUAUAUUUAUCUAUUUUUGACACAAAAAAAACCAUUUCAUUGUGUUGAAGUAGUAAAUACAAAGAAUGACGAGAAAUCCUUUGAACAUGUCCACAAUCCUUGGAAUAUGUUUAUCAAAGAGGGCAACUUAAUGAGACCUGCCAUUUUUGGGAAAUGUAGUCAGGUCUAGUCAUGCAUCAUGGUUGUCGAUAUGGGCAUUUGUGUCACUAUAGGAUUUGCUCUAGCAGCAUGUAGUUGAUCUUGGCACAAAGAUGUUUAGAUCAAGAACUGUGAUACUCCUCAGGGCGUGAUCUUGACUGUUACUAAUUGAAAGCUUUCUACCUUCCUGGGGAAAAAAGAGUCUGAAUAUGUGUAAUCAAUGGUAACAGUGUUUCCAUCAUAGUGUUCUUUGCAUCUCAUAGUCCAACUAUUAUUUUCCAUUGUAAAAGAAAAAUUUUGUGCUCAUACUAUAAAAAUACUUGAAACUCUGGCUUAAAUUUUUCUAUGUUUUUCAAUUUUACUGUUUCUUUUAGGCAUUUUGGAAGUGACAUUUUUUAUUUUUCAACUAGAAUGGCCUGGUGUCUCUUUCAAUUGAUUAUAUUUACUAAAAUAUUUCUGAAUCCCUGUAAAUGUUUGCUUUUAUGUUUUAAGACAAGAAGGCUUCUGGAUCCGAAGAAAAGAAAGCUGCUUCAAGUAACAAUGAAAGUGAUGGAAGGAGAAAAGGGUUCGAGACCAUCUUUCACUCUUUUUCUUUCUUCUCUAUUGUUAUCUUUUUUGUCAUAAAAUAAAUGAAACAUUAUUAUUGUCAUUUAUUUGUUUUUUGUUUAUCUUACUUGAUGUAGGAACAUUCAAAUCACUGAGGCUUUGCGCCUGCAAAUGGAAGUUCAAAAACAGCUUCACGAACAGCUUGAGGUAUGUUCUAUGGUCACUUCGACUGUUGAUGUACUGAACUUUGACUGUAUCUACAAAGGAAUUUUACCCCAAAAGUGAAAAACAAAGAAGGAAUUCUUAAAAAUUAAAGGGCAAAUAUUUUUCCUCUUAACAAGCUUUUUGAGAAAGAACUAAAGAGUUUUGCAGCAUUGUUGUCUUGAUUUCCAACGAAACUCAAGCAGUUUUACUAUUGAUGCUGAUGAAACUGCAAAGUUCUAGGAGAAUACAUGAAUUAAAAGCUGCAGAGUUUUGGAACCUUUUUUCUCUGCUUGUGGUUGUUUCUCCCAAAAAGGUACGAGGAGAGGAGAUUCCUAUCCAUGAUUUCAGACAAGUUGAUUCUGAAAAUAUCUCUUUGAAGAGAAGUGAUUUUAACCUUCUUUAUAUUAUGUGUUUGGUUGAAUACCCUUCUCGUCUGCCCAGUCACGUGUUUUAUUUUUAAAUUUUUUCUUAUUUUUCUCCAUUCUCUAUCUGGUAUGGAUCACUUCUUCAUCCUUGACCAAGUUAAAUCAGUUUGGCUGUGGUCAUUGAUGUUCUCUCAUUGAUUUUACUUCCAUUUUUACGACCCUUUUUAGUGUCUUUCCUAUUCUAAUACCACUCUUUUUCUUCUGAGAAGAACAAGAAACCGAACUUGAUUGAUUCUUCAUAGCUGGCUGUCUGCAGCAUACUUUGUCAUUGAUUUAAUUCGUUCUUCCUUUGGCACAGGUGCAAAGGACUCUUCAGUUACGCAUAGAGGAGCAUGCAAGGUACUUGCAUAAGAUCUUGGAAGAACAACAGAAGGCUGGCAGUGCCUUGAUCUCUCCUCCAAGCUUGUCAUCACCGACUAGCCCUCACCCAGAUUCUGAAAGGCAGCCUUCUUCUCCAUCAGCUACCACCACUCUCCCCCAACCAGCAGAGUGCAAAGCUGAUUCCUCAUCACCUCCACCAUCAAAGCACAAAGCUGCUACUGAAACUACCGACUCUGAGCAGCAAGCAUGCUCGAAGAGAUCCCGUCUUGAAUCCAACCCAGAACCAGUUUCAGAUGAGGCUGUGGUUGAAAAUCCCAGCCAGUGAUCUGAAACUCUAUUUUUCUUAGCAUUUGUAGGUAUUCCAAGCUCUUGUAAAUAAAGCCAAAACCCCAUGUAAAUUAGUAGGUAGAAGUAGAACUGAGUAUUUGCUUGGUCUGUAUGAUUGAAAUUAGCUACUUGGGUGAAAGAGAGUGGCUCUCUUAUUGGAUGAAUUUGUUGAAUGGAAGCUUAUUUUGUUCAGAUUGUUGAAUUUUUGGCUGAGUUUGUGAAUUAUUUAGAUUUGGAAUGAGUUUCUAUGAUUUCUUCAUUUUUUUCCCAAUAAAAAUUUUCAAAUUUUUUUCCAUCCAGAUAUGUGGAAAAUUCUAUAGCAGUGAAGAAGUUACACAUCAAAGUUUCUGUUCAUAAUGCUCAUGUCUUUAUGUGCAUGUAUAUACAUCUAAUAUUGAUAAUAUAUACACUAAAUUGUGUUUUUUAUUAAUAGAAUAUGCAUUAAUAUUAAUAUCAUGAAAUAUGGUUUUUUUUUUACUAUAUAUAUAAUUAUUUAUUUUAUUUUACUACUUAUUAAUAGAAUUUUUUUUUGUAUUCCAUUUAUUGCUAUGUUUAAAUUCUAUAUUAUAUUUAUGGAGAAGGAUGAACAAAUAUUGGUGGAAUUUCAAUACCCCUAUAGAAUGUUUGGUUUCAGAAAAACUUGAAGAAAAAUAUAAGGGAAAUAAAAUAUAAAGAAAAAGUAUAAAAAUAAAUAAAUAAAUAAAUUUGAAGUUCAUAAAUUAUUAUUGUUAUUAUUAUUUUUAUGAGGAAGGAACCUUUUAUGAACAAACCCACACUCUAUAAGACUUCUUGUAACAAUCAACACAGAGUAAAUUCAAAGUAUCCAUAAAUUAUUUUUUAUUUACUUCUUCAAAUUAUUUUAUUUAUUUUAAGUUUUAACUCAUUAAAAUAAAGAUUAAAUAAUUUAAAAAUGUAUAAGUUUUUAAUUAAUUUUAAUUUCUUUGAUUUUUUUCAUAAGACAACAAAAUAUGAGAAAAAAUAUUUUAUUUAAUAUUUUUUUUUCUUUCCUUAUAUUUUUUUUAGAAUCAAACAAAAUCAUAAUGUAUGUACAGAGAAAAAUGGUCAAAUAUUAAAAAAAACUUACAAAUAUUUGAGCCAGUAAAGAAGGAUUUUUGAAUUUAAAAAUUAUAUUUUUGUUUCAAUGGAAAUUUGAAAUUACCUAUUUUAUAAUAAAGAUAACAUAAUAGGUAAAUUAGCAUUAAAAGUAAAAAAAAAUAUUUAUGGAGGAGAUAAAAAUCUCUAUUUCAUUUAUCAUUAUUAAUUAAUUAAUCAAUAAAAAAAUGAAGUAUAAUUAAUUUAAUUUUACAAAAAUGGGAAAGAUUGAGGAGAGAGAAUCUCUGAAUCUCUAAAAUUUGUUAAUAAAAAAUUAAUUAUUUUUAUUUCUCUUUUUAUUUAUUUUGUCCUCUCAACUCUCAAGCAGUCCAUUAAAAAACCGAUUGCAUUUACUCUGCUGAAUUGGAUUUGGGUAAACAAAUUUGGAAAAGGCUGUCUUGGAUAAAAUUGCCGAUUCUUUUUUCCCUUAAAAAGAGGAUGGUGAGUAGGACUGUAGGAGGGAAAUUCAGGGUUGAAAAAGUAUAAAAUCCAUUGAAGGAGUUGGGAAAAAAUGCAGCGAGUGAAGAGAAUAUCUCAGAAAAAGAGUGAUGGGUUGUGGAAGAUGAUGGGUUUUGGGUUUUUUUUUUGGUACAUUGGCAUAGCCAAAACCAGUGGCUGAGCAGGUUGUUUUGGCACUCUGUGUGACCAAAUCUUCGGUUACAGGAGCAUUGAAUGGUUUUAGAAGUGGGUUAUCAGAUUUCACAAAGUGGGUAGGUCUCUUUUUCUUUCCUUUUCUCUAUUUUUCUCUCUUUCUCUCUCUUUUCUCUAUCUCUGAAGCAUGCAAACAGACACUUGUACAAAGCCCACAGAAAACACCAGUAGGGGUUGUUGAGAAAACUCCUCCACCCUAGUUUAUAACGCCUUCUCCUUUUCUUCUUCUCCUUCUCUGUUUCGUUCAGCCUCUGCCGCCGUUCUGUUCUAUUCUUGUUUACCUUGUUUGCAUUUUCAUUCCUCAGGUUAUUUAUUUAUUUUAUAAUUUUCAUCGUGAUUUUUUUUUUUUGGGCUUGUUGGUCCGUGUAUGAUUUGUAUGUAUAGUAGAUUGAUCCCAUUUGAUUUUUUUUUUCUUUAGUAAUUUUUUUUGUAGUGCCUUUUGCUUCUUGUUUCAUCUAUUCGAUCUGUUUUAAUGUCUGUGUUCUGUGGACUCUCUAUGGAUUGAAAAUCUGGAAGAGGGUUCUUCCUGGUAUUGUUUAAAAUGGACAAAUAGUUGAUUUUUCCGAUUCCUGUCAUUUUAGGGAUUUGGGGGAAAAUGGGCAGAAAGGAAAAGACAAUGUUGAGAAGAGAUUAAGGAAUAAUUUCAAUUUUCUUUAAAUUUUUUGUUGUUUUACUUUCUACUUUUCUCUCUUUGAUCCAAAUGGAGCCUUAGAUUUGUGGUUCUUCGCCAGUAUUGCAGUGGGGAUGGUGGUGCCAACAUGAAGUAUUUUGUUUGUGAAUCAAAAAAGGGGAAAUGAACAAUGAUGUGAGACUUUUUAUUUGAAAUGGAUUCUCUGAGGCGACUGACUUCCAUCAGCCAGCCUUAAUCAUUAAAUAGCAUAUUGGGAUUAAAUUCUCAGAUUACCCUCUAUAACAAGCAAUUUUUUUUUUUUUUUUUUUUUUAAAGUGGAUUAGAACACAUAUUGUUGGCGCUCUUCAAUGUUUUUGAUUUUCAUCAUCGAACUUGAUACUUUUGGUUUUGUUUAGCUCUUCUUUGGGUUAAUAAUUUUGUUUAAACCUGGGAAAAUAAUGUAUUUCCUUAUUAUUCUGUUUCAAGAACUAUAGUCGAUUUAGCUUAUUAGUAAUAUUUGUCUUUUGCUUUUUUAUUCUUUUGAAGAAACUUCUAAAAUUCAUUGCAAUGGUUUUGCAGGCCAAGCUUGGUGGAAUAAUUGAUUCCAGAGUGUGUUCAUUUAGGACUCUUGACUGGUUCGCCUACAAGACAUAUAAUCUACAUUAGGAGUUAUGACUGACCUGUUUAGGAUUUUUUAAUCAAGGAAAAUGGCUGCAACUAUUGUGGUGAAGUGGUGAGUGGCUUUAUCAGGGGGGUAUAUCACAUUGUGGAUCAGUUCCUGCUAUGUUAAGGAACUAAUGAAAGAAAAGGUACUUGAGCUGAAAAGAGGGAAUCUCGGCAAGGAAGUCGAGAAAUUAAACCAACUCGAUCUUCCCUCAAAGAGGAAGUCUUCCCUUAUAUCAAAGAAUGUCAAGCAAAGAAAAGUUGGAAGUAUUCCGAAUGCUGGUUUAGAUGGUGGAAAGCAUGCAAACAAAGACCCUGUAAUGAAAUGGUUUCAUUUUCAGUUUUAAGUAUGGGUUCAAAAAGAUCUAGCUGUGACAGGGAGGGAGAAGAUAUACUGGUAAGCCAAGCUAAGAAACGCGUUGGCAGAUUUUUGUAUGAAAUGGGCACUGAUUUUAGUGCUGCAACCCCUACAAGCCCUUGUGGAAAGAUUAAUGGUAUCCACAGUUGUCAUCAGGUCGAGUAUGAGUUUCUUAGCCAUCAGGAGUUGAAAGGUUGGAUCGUUUGGGAUGAGGUGAAAGAGAUGCUAGAUCAUGUGCAUGAGAUUAUAGAUACAUGCGCAACCACAGGGUGUAGCAUUGUAGUAGAUGGGUGGAAGGAUGAGAAGGGAAGAAACUUGAUGAACCUCCUUGUUGAUUGCCCUCGGGGUCCAAUUUGUUUUAGAUUAUGUGACAUUUCUACCUUGUCUGAUGAUGUGGAUGCCUUGGUGGUGUUGUUUGAACAAGUUAUUGCAGAGGUCAGGGUUGAAAAUGUUGUGCAAAUCGUCUCCCAUUCUGUGUCAGAAUGUAUGGCAGCUGUGGGCAAUAGUUUGAUGGGCAAGUACCCAACAUUGUUUUGGACAGUUUGUGCAUCUCAUUGCAUAGAGAUGAUAUUGGAGAAGAUUGGGAUGAUGGGCACCACUAGGGAGAUAUUGGAUAAAGCGAAGACCAUUACAAGGUUCAUACACAGCCAUGCAAUGGUUCUAACCUUAUGAGGAAUCAUACACUUGUCCAUGACCUUGUGAAACCCUCGAAGAGCAAGCCAGCAAUCCCAUUUUUGACUUUACAAAAUAUAGUUUCAGAAAAAUGUGGCUGGAGAAGAUGCUUAUCUCAUCUGAGUGGAAGACCUCUUACUGGGCUUCCAGGAGAGAUGGGAAGGGGGUAGCUGAUAUAGUGGUGGAUCCCUCUUUCUGGAAUGGAGCUGAGACGGUUCUAAAGCCAACUGUUCUUCUGGUGGGCGUGCUAUGCUCGAUCAUUAGGGGUGAUAAGGGACAAAUGUGUUACAUAUAUGAAACAAUGGAUGCAGUGAAGGAAGAUAUUGCAGUGGAAUUUGAAAAUAACGAAUCUCAAUGCAUGCGCUUCUGUUUCUGUAGUGGGUGUUAAAGUACAAACAUGCUACUGACCAUAUCUCAUUUUGGAUCCGCCCAUUGGGUACGAUACACUCAAUACAACAGUUAAUUUUUCUAUCAAAAUUAACUUCUAUAUUGAGCUUAUGGUACCCAAUGGGCGGAUCCAAAAUGAGAUAUGGUCACAACUUGACCAUUAUUUUGAUUUUGGGAUGGGGAGAGCCAUUGACAGAAGAAAUGAUAUUCAUCCAGGUUAGAGAAAUAUAAUCCCUUUGAUUGUCCAGUUCUGCGCAUCGGAAAUGGAACUAUUAGAUGAGUUGCUAUUUACAUGUAUGGGAAGUUUUGAAUUAAUUCCAUAAUUUUUAUAAAUAUUAUCUUGUAUAGCUAUCAUACAAGUGUAAUAGCCAUGUUCUAAAAAUAUGGUUGUUAUUGGAAUAGGAUAGUUGUGUUUCCUUAUUUGAAUGUGAUUUAGUCAAUUAUUGUAUAUGAUUUAAGGCCUUGUAAUAAUUCAGAAAAAUAAAAGAUCAUUUUCCUCCUUUUUCUUCAUGGUAUCAGUGCCAAUUGAUGCCAGACAUGUUUUCAGAGAAAAGCUUCUUUGAGUCUGGCCUUCAUCAUCAUUGAUAUCUUCCUCCUCCAUCUUUAUUUUCAGAAUCUUUCACUGAUAUUCUCCUUAAGAACUCUAAUAUCCCAGCCUUAGUUGUUAUCAUCUCGGCUUGUUCUGUCUUUUUCUUUCUCAGAUUCAAUUCCUGUCCUAAUUACCUAGAAUAUUAGAAAUAUUAAAACUAUUACUGUUGCUAAUUCUAUAUAGAACCUGGGUUCAAUUUUCUAACGAAAACCCUACCUUCUAAAUCACUACCACAAAAUUGAAUUGCUUAAACUUCAUGGAUGGGUUUUAAUGACCUAAGCUAUUCCCAAAAACCAAUGGAAAAAUGAAAUACAUGUUAGGCACUAUGUCAGGAUCCUAAGUUUUAAGUAUGGGGGCUAUAAAAUUCAAUGGUGAUGUCCUGGUUAAUUCACUCAAUGCUCCCAUGAAUCAGUAAGACCUAUAUCUUACUGGCCUCUGCCAAGGACAUUUGGAAGGUAGUCACUCAAACAUAUUUGAAGAGUAUGAACUGAAGUGACAGAUCAUCUUUACGAAGAAAGGAUACAAGACUUUCUCCAAGUAUUCCAAUAGUCUUAAAGGGCUUUGUGUUGGAAUUGGAGAUGGGACUAGCAGUUGAUAGGAAGAAAGUGAAAAAUAUGAUAGAGAGGGAACAAAUUUUUGACUCCUGGUUAGCGUCAAUCCAAAGUAUGAUAAAGUAAAUAUAUUUUUUAAAAUAAAUAUAUGUUAAAUAUGUUAUUUUUAAAAAAAUGAGAUUUUUUAAAGAACCUUGUAAAAAAAAUAAUUUUCAAUAUCUCAUAAAUAAAAACCAUAUCCUAAGAUUAUUAUAUUGUUUUAUAUAUGGAACAUAUAAUUAAAAACUUUGUUACCAUAAUAGAAUGAAUAAUACAAUUUAUUCCCAUAAGUGGAGAAUAUCAAGUAGGUAACCUUCAAGCUGACCCAGUUAGUGUGGAAUUGUAUCUGGUUAGUUGGUGGUAAAGCAAACCUCGGGUGAUAUGGACUCAUCCUUUUACAAAGGAUCUAUCCCUUUUAUCUUAUAGAAGGGAUAAUGUUGGGAAGCAUUUAUUGGUUAGUUUUUCACAAACCCAUACAUGAAGAGAUCCAAUGAGUAAGAAGUGAUGAAUGACAUAUUUUUUUUCUUACUCUUUUUACUGUGUUUAGCGCCCAUCAUGUCUCCAAAUUUUUGUUGCGAUCUCAGUCCAACUGCCAAACUGAUUCGAUACAUAUUGAAAAACACGACCAAUCAAAUCACAUUGGGUCUAUAUAUAGAUUUUAAUGUGUCAAAAUAAAUAUGAUUAAUAUUUUAAUUAUUAAAUAUUAUUCAUGUAUUGUGUUGACUUGUCAUAAAAUUAAAUAAUAUUAUUUUUUUUUAAACAAGAUAUUAAGUAAAUUAGCAAUUGAAAAUAUGAAAAUAAAAAUAAAUAUAGUAUAUUUAUAAAGUUUAUUUAAAAGUGAAAUAUUUAAAAAUGAUAUAUUCAUAAAAAUGACUCUACUAGACCUUCAAAUUUUAAUUAUUAUAUUCAUAUAUUCAUUUAAAUAUCCAAAUGUAUACAUAUUUUAUAAAUUUAGUAAUGAUAUUAUCAAAUUCACAAAAGUUAAAAACUUAACAUUAAGCCCCUGAAAAAUCCAAAAGCGAGUUUAGGAUAGUAAAAGAUAUUACAAUUAUAUAGUUACUUUUUAUUUUUAAUAAGUAAUAAUAAGUCUUUGAUGUAGAUGACAUAAAUUAUAUUAUAAGUAGUGUUAAUUUAAUAAUAAUUGACCUGAAAGACCUAAAACCCUCAAACAAACCCUUUCUUUUGCUACUCGACGACCCAACUGUGGCUUCAAGCUAUCCGACACUGUAAUGAGCAUCUUCAAGCUAAAAACCUAUUAAGACCUGAAAGCAUUUUAUUACCAACCAAAAAAGGGGAAAAAAAAAGUGAACUGAUUCAUCGGAGAAAUCAAGGUUGGACCAUUCAAGUGCGUUGUAGAUCCAAAUCUAGAACAAGAUGCUACAAAAUUGAGCCUUGUUUUUCCAUGCAGGUUACCCUAUAUGAUGCUUAAGCUAACAAGGGCGAAGCUGAAACCAACCCUCAAAACAUUAAUCAUCACAAUAUACAACUGUAGGCCCUAUGUGAGACACCAAGCUCACAUGUAUGUCUUGAGUUAGGAUGCGUUGGAAAGCAACUUUAAGGAAGGAUAUAAAAUUCAUUCUCCCAAAGUCCCAAUAGAAAAUGGACAAAAAAACAGACUAGAAUAAAUGCCAGAUAUUAGAAUCACGGAUCUGUCAUUUUUCCAAAAAAAAAUUCAUUUUCCCUAAAAACUUCAACAAACGUCUGCAUCUUAAAAGACUUCAAUCUUUGGAUGAUAACAAACCAUUUAUGCUAAAAUAGCCGUGAAGGAUGUAAAAAAAAAAAAAAAAAAACCAAAAACAAUGGGAUUUUUUUUUCCUGAAAACCGAGAUUCUGAGAUGGGAAAAAAAAAGGGAAAGUGCCAAAAACUUUACAUAAAACAAGCCAAAAAGAAUAUUGGGACCAACGUCAACCUUGAUGCUUUGUAGCUCCAACAAUGUCUCUCUCAUAGUAGCCCACUGAUGGAGCUUGGGUUUUGAAGAAAAAAAUUACACAGAGAACAGAGCAUAGGAUGGGAAACUGGGAAAGUAAACAAAAAUAGUCUUAAAAAAUGGGUUUUAUGCUUAUGUGGAUUGAUGGGGGCUAUUUUGAACAUUAGUUUUGGAAGAAGCCCACUUUUAAUAUUGAGUUUCAAAAGAAGCCCAUUUUGGCCCAAAACUCUUUUUCUAAAGGUUGUUGUUCAAAUACCGGGAUCAUUAAUUCAAGUGCAUAAGAGCUUGUGUAGUUUUUCCACAUUGUUUUCUACAUAUUCAACUUGUUUUGGAAAGUGAAUAAUUAAGGUUGUUGAUGGGCCAUUUUCUUCCAUAGCAGGUCAAGGAAUAGUUCAAUUGAACCCUACUUUGGUCUCAAAAUCUAUUUGGCAUGUCCCCAAUCUGUCAUAUAAUCUUCAAUCUAUAGGAAAUCACCUACAUUGUUCUAUGUUAUUCACCUCUUUUGGUCGUAUUUUUCAGGACUUUGUUAUGGAGAUGAUGAUUGAGCAAUGCUGAAUUGAAAGUACCAUUUGAAUACCGGUUUCAAUACUAAUGCCUUGAGGCUUCAAAGCUCGGUUUCUGCGUUGUCUCCUAAAGUGGUCCAAAUUCGGCUGUGGCAUAGACAUUUAUGACAUAUGUCUUUCCUUUUGUUUAAAAAUUGUUCCUGUCCUUGUUUAAGAUCAUCAUUGUUAGUAACUUUACGUGUGAAACUUGUGUACUUGCCAAAGGCAUUGCGUUUCAUUUCCAAUAAAUACUCCUAAAGUUUUUUCUCUAACUUUGAUGCUUGAGUUCCUUCUCGCUUACAAAUAUUUUUGGUAUUCGAUGGUUUGUUACUUUUAUAUAUGAGUGCACUUGUUCAACUUGAGCUUAUAUGAUGAAAUCCAAAUAUGAACUUUCAUUAAUUUUUCCUAUCUUUCACAAUCUUAGCUGCACUCAAUUUGGGGCUAAAAUAUACAUGCUCAUAUUUGAUAAUGGAAAAGAAGAUUUUAAUCAAAAUAUAAGCAUUUCUCUUUUUAAAAUGAGGAUACUACUCAUCCUCAUCUUAUAUGUCUAGUCCUUACCAAAAUGGGUAGCUGGAAAAAAAUGAGAUGGGUCAAAAGGUGGUCAAUCGAUUCUCUAUCUCUUUUGCAUAAAAUGCACCAAUGAGGACUAAAAGAUUUAUAGGGUCUUCUCAAUAGUACCAAUUGUAGCAUGUUAUUGGUGUUGACCUUCUCAAUUGUAGCAACAUAGAGAUUUGUAAGGUUGAUAUAUAGACCUGAUAAAAAAGACCUGAAGAAACCUCCACUAUACAAGGAGGGUUAUACAAAAGGACCAAAAAGGCUUAUACAAGUAUAACAUCUCUUAACCUUGUAGGCUAAACCCUAGGGUGUACAUAUCAAAAGCCAAUUAAGUUGAAUUACACUCAAAGAAUAGAGUUUUAAAAAGUUUGUACAGUAAGCCUAAAAAGAAACAUAGAAAUGAAGCAAAUCCCAUAUCAUCUCUGACAUCUUCCAAGUGUCCUAAAAAUUUUAGUGGUCCUUCCCCUCCAUAUAAUCUACAACAAAGAGAGACAUGUGAUCCUCCAGAGGGUCUUGCCUUUAAUGGAGUUCCUAAAGCACUUGAAAGAAAUCACCAUCAUAUUGCGAAUACUACCUGGUUAAACCCACUCCAUCCCGACUUGUGAGAAUAUCCUAUGCUACAAUCCCAAAUUAAUCGGACGAUAUAAGAAAAGAUGGUCAAUCAUAUCUCUACUCCUCCUACAUAGGAUGCACUAAUCAGGGCUAAGGGCUUUGAAAGGUCUUCUCAAUUGUAGCAUGUCAUUGGUAUUUACCUUCUUAUGUGCCACUAACUACGUAAAGACCAUGAUCUUAGAGAAGACUCUUGAUUUUCCUUGUAGCAUCUCUAUCUUUCUCUCCCUUUAUCCAUAGCUUUUAUUUGCCUUGCCUUCCUGACCCUUAAUGCUGUUUCUAUUCUUGUGGCCACUGGUGUUUUGGUUUGAAUGUUGAAAUCAUCUAAAACUAUGUUCCAUAUCUAAUAAUACAUUGGGAGUACCAUUGAAUCUUUGUAAUGGCUACUCCAACUUAGUCAAUGUUCUUCAUAAUUUUAAUGCAGUCAAUUAAAAAUAUAAGCUUUCAUUGUUGGAUUUAUUUUAAUGCAAUCAAGUUCUGAUGCUCAAAAGAAAAACACUUGGUAGCAAUGUCAUAAAUCUAAAUUGCACAAGAAUAUGUAUGCAUUUUAGAAUUCCUUGGAGCAUGUAAAAACAUUCAAGUGCCACGGGAAAACAAGUUUCUGUAUUGAGUGGUUAAAGAUGAUUUAUUUGUUCCCUUCAAAAACAAACUACAUCUAGCAUGCUCACUUAGUAAGGAGUGUGCUCACCAUAUUUUUCUCCUCACUUAGCUUGCAGACUCACACUAAGGGAGCAUGUUCAGUGUAGUUUGUUCUUGUUUGCCAAUCCUUGCUACCCAAGUUGGAUAUCGUUAUAUUUUUGGGCACAUUUCUUAUUCUUCUUUUGUAUUUUUUUAUCCUUAAUUUAAUACAUUUAGUAUUUUUGAUAAAGAAGUUGGAGAUCAUCCAAUAAUCCAAACUCUUGUUGAAGGAGCCUAAAAGAUUUAUGGUUCCAACAUUUUCCACCCCUAAAUUUAUUCUCUUCAAUUUGAUGAAGGACCCUUGCAUUGCAAAUUCACCAUAACAUUAGGAACUUUAUAUGGAAACUGAAAGCCAGGAUUAUGUAUAUCUUUUCAACUUUUGUGUUGAUGAGAAGGAGAGGUAGUAGUAUUUAAAAUGAUGCUCUACUAACAUGAAAUUUGAAAUUACUUAUUUUACAAUAUAGAUAAGAUAUUAGAUAUAUAUUGUGAAUUAAAGAGCAUUAUAUUUAUUUGUGGUGGUGGAUUCCUCUAAUAUAAAUUGCCAUUUCACUUAUUAAUAUUAUUAUUAAUUAAUGAUGAUUGUAAAAUUUACUUAGUUGAAUAAUUUUAUAAGAGAUUAUGGGCAAAAAAUCUCUGGAUUUUGUUAAUAAGUAGGUUAUGGGUAAUCUAAAUGUUUUAAUAAAAUUAAAAAGAUUGUUAUCUAGUGUCUUGUCAAUUAGUCUAUUAAAAAUGUAAUAGCAUUUACUCUGCUGAAUUGGAUUUGGGUAGCACCUUGAAAAGUGCAAUUUUGAAUAGAAAUGCUGAUUCACAAUAACCAUUCAAGAUUUUUUUCUUAAGCAAGAAGAGAUUAGAAGAUGAUCAUGUAGGAGUGAGUUUCAAAGUUGAAGAUUUAAAAUACACUGAAGAAGUUGGACAAAAAGAUGCGGAAGGUGGACUAAACAUUUUGAGAAAGGGUAAUGAGUUGCAGAAGAUGAUGGUUUUGGUUCUUUUGUGUCUUUUUGUACAUUAACAUAGCAAAAACCACUAGCUGAGCAAGUUGUUUUGCCACUCUUCCGUUACAGAGAGGUAUGAGGAUGAGCAUUAAAUGAUUUUGAAUUUGGAACUGGGUUAUCAAAUUUCAUAACAUUGGUCUGUUAGUCUGUCUAUCUCCCUCUUUCUCCCUCUUUUCCUUUAUCUCUGAAGCAUGCUUGUACAAAACCCACAGAAAACACCACUAGGGGGUUGUUGAGAAAACUCCACUAGCUUCGUUUUUAACACCUUUUCUUCUUUUUCUUCUUAUUCGUCUCAUUCACUCUUUGCACCUGUUCUCUUAUCUCUUAUCUCUUAUCUUCUUUGCAAUUUCAUUCCUCAGGUAUUUUUUUUUCUUUUUUGUAUUUUUCAUUGUGAUGUUUUGUGGCUUGUUGGUCUUGCAUGUAUGUUUUUUUAUUAUUGCAGACUUAUCCCAAUUUUCCUUCUUUUUUUUUUUUGAAUUUUUUAAUAUUUGUUUAGAUGCCUGUUUUAUCCAUUCAAUCUAUGUUAAUGUGUGUGUUAUUUGGACUUUUUGCUGGUUUGAGCUCUGGCAUGGCCUUUAAUACUUAAGGUGUGUAUAGAUAGAUAAUCUAAAAAAAGGUACUUGUUGCACUCUGCUUAACCAUAGAACUACUUAUUACCAUGUAUUUUUUUAUGUUUAAUCUAGUUCCUUAGUAGUAGAACCCCAUAUUACUCCAUGUUCCAAUUCAAUGUAAGUAAUUCUUGGUAAAUUUUGAUGUUUUGCUGCAUGACUAGUUGUAUUGCAAUUAAGUCUCAGAUGAACCUUCAUAAUAAACAUUUAUUUCUAAGAGGAUUUAAGCAUAGAUUAUUGUAGAUCUCCUAUGUUUUGGAUUUCAUCGUAUUCUAUUGUAAUAUUAUUUUUGUUCCGGUUUUGUUACGUUUUCUUUCAAAUUGCAAAAAAAUUAUGAGUGUCCUUUUUAUUCUUCUACAACUGUGAACCUUCAUUUCACGAUGGAUUCCCCUCCUAUUUUGUUUUCUCGACUCAUAACUCAAAUUAUUUAUGCAUUUUGUUUUGGCUCUUUGCUUGGAUCCAAACAUCUAGAAAUGUUAUUCCCAAAGAGCGAUGGUGAUUACCACUCAAGCAAAAAGGCAUCAUAAGAGUAAAUAUGUUUUUUAUACUUAGGGGCCAUUCAUUUUCAUUUUGUAUUAUGAUAAUUUUUUUUUUUUUUUUGCAUUUUUUUGUACUAUGUUUGAUGGCAGAUGUAUUUAAGUUGUUUUUUAUAUGGUAUAAUUUUUGUUUUGAGUAUUUUAAGUAAAAUGUGUAGGGCGUCAUCAUAUUAACUUGCCUUCGACUCUGGUUGAAUUGGAAUUAUUAAUCCAGCACUUCAUAGGCAACACAUUUUGUUUCAAUUACUAUAGUCGAAUUUAUAGCAAAUUUUUUGUUUCUCUUGAAGAAACGUUUAAAGUUCACACUUGUUGAUUUGUAGAUUGUGUGCAGUCAAAAGACUUGGCUGGUUCAACUGUAAGAGAUUAUCUGCAUUUUGGACCUGAUUGGUUGAAGUGGAAUUAUCAGCUUCCAAUUCUGAACAAGAAGAAUGGCUUCAACUGAUGAAAAGAUACUUUAGUUGAAAAGAGGAAGUCUCAAAAAGAAAAUCGAGAAAUUGAAAUAGCCUGAUCUUUCCUUGAAGAGGAACUCCUCCCUUAAAUAAAAAAAUAUCAAGCAAAGAAGAGUUGGAACUAUUCAGAAUGUUGGUUUAGAUGGUGGAAAGCGCUCAAAAAAAAAAAAAAAAAAAAAAAAACCUUGUAUCAAGAGUGAACAAAAUGGUUUUCAUUUUCAGUUUUAAGAACGGGUUCGGAAAGAGCUAGUUGUGACAAAGACGGAGAAGAUAUACCCUCAAGGCAAGCUAAAAAAUGCAUUGGCAGAUUCUUGUAGGAAAUAAGCACUGAUUUUAGUGUUGCAACCAUUAUGCAGCACUGAUUUUAGUGUUGCAACCAUUAUGCAGCACUGAUUUUAAUGUUGCAACCAUUAUGCAGCACUAAACAAUAUAGUAAAAAGCAUCCGAUGUGCGCUCACUAAGCACUCUAUAGUUGCUUUCAUAUGCUUUAGAUUCUCAAGAUGGGAAGUCAAUCUAGAUGUAGUUUUUUUAGCUACAAUGAGCACUUUGGUUGUCUUGGUGUGUUGUCUUUAAUUAUUGAGAGAACAAAUGGUCUUUUUUGUGGACAAGGAGAUUAUCUUGUUGUCCCUCUCUCCCUCCUUUCUUUGGGAGUGUUGCAUUUGAUUUGUUAAAUAUUAGAUGGCUUUGGCAUUAAUAUAGACUAUGGUUUUCACUUGGUUUUGAGAUGACUUAUGAUUAUUGAUGUUGCAUUUAGCAAACUUCUUAUUAAUCUGUUACUUUGUAUUUUAUAAAGUACAAAUGAUUUUUUUGCUUGUGUUCAUUUUGUUUAGGAAGUAUAUGAAACAAUUCAAGCUUCAUCACCACUAGCUGUGGAAUUGGGACUGACAAGGAACUAAAGUGAUCACUCUGUGGCACCUUCUAUUGAUGCUCUAUCAAGUAAACUCCUGGGGUUGCUGCUACAUUCAAGCCAAUAUUGAUAUGGACCCCUGAGCUCCAUGAGUGUGUUUCAUAGAGGCUAUCAACAAGCUUGAUGGGAUUGAAAAUGAGUAAAGUAUUUUUAACUCCACUUCUUUUAUUUGCCUUGCAUGGUAAUUGACAUAUUUAAGCUGAAAUAUCAUGUGGUUUGAGAUAGUUUCUAGGCUAAAAUUGAAUUUAGAAAAGGUUAAUUAGUUAAAGGGGUUAAAAUAACCCCCAUAUUUGCAAAUAUAACCCACCAGUCAAAAAACAAAAAAGUUGACCUGGUUGAGACAAAAAUGUCCUUCUGUUUUUUUCUCUCCAACACGUACAACUUCUCCUUUCUCUUUCCCCCCUCAUUUUUCUCUCCAAGACAACUUUCCCUUUCCCUUUGUUUUAUAGCAGAUUAGGUUCUAAUUUUUUUAUUCAGUCAUUUGUUGCUAUUUCUCUCUCUUUUCCUGCAGAGAACAAGUUUAACUUCUUACAAUUGUUUCAUCUGUUAUUCAUUCUUGGUCAUAGAAAUAUGAAAAAAAAUGUGAGCAACCAAUAAUUUAUUUUUUAUAUUAUCAUUUUAUUUCUUUUUGUUUCUUGAAAAUUCAAAAUCUAACUUCAACAUUGUAGGUAAAAAAUAGAGACUCCAUUGUUAAUUCUGAAAAAGUGAAAAGUUCAUUCAAAAGAAGUUGAAAAGAUUUAUCCAUGUGACAAGUUCAAAUGAUGGUAAGCUAAUUCACAAUCAUAAAUUUCACCUAAACUUAAUAAUGGUUGAGUUGCAUUAAUAAAGAACUUAAUUGUGGUUAAGUUCUUUGUUCAUUUUUUCACCUGAACUUAACAGUAGUUAAGUUGCAUUAACAAAUAACUUAACCACAAUUAAGUUCACAGUCAGAAUUUUUACCUGAACUUCAUAGUAGUUGAGUUGCAUUAACAAAUAACUUAACCACAAUUAAGUUCACAGUCAGAAUUUUCACCUGAACUUCACAGUAGUUGAGUUGCAUUAACAAAUAACUUAACCACAAUUAAGUUCAUAGUCAGAAUUUUCACCUGAACUUAACAGUGUUGAGUUGCAUUAACAAACAACUUAACUAUGGAUAAGUUCACAGUUAGAAUUUUCAUGUGAACUUAACAGUAGUUGAGUUGCAUUAACAAAAAACUUAACCACAGUUAAGUUCACAAUCAGAAUUUUCACCUAAACUUAACAAUGGUUGAGUUGCAUUAAUAAAUAACUUAAUUGAGGUUAAAUUCACACUCAGAAUAUUCACCUGAACUUAACAAUUGUUGAGUUGUAUUAACAAAUAACUUAACUAUAGUUAAGUUGACAGUUAUAGUUACAUUAUAAAAAUUGUAACUUUGAGCAUCAAGUCAAAUUCAUCCAAAAUAACAGUCAACACUCAACAACAUAUAAACCUUUUACAUAAUCAAAAUGAAACCCACUACAUGGGUAAAUUUUUGAAGUAGAACAAUUCAAUUGCCAUUUUCUCUCUAAACCAAUCAAUGCGGACAUCAGUCAGUGAGCUGAAUGGAUGAUCAUGCAUUAAACAUUCUGUAUAUUUAAUCAAGAACAUCCCACAAUCACCACUGCAUGAAACAAAAGUAAUCAAAAUUAAGAUGGCUAAAAAAAAAUUUACCGUAUAAGUCAUAAAGGUGAAAUGAUAAAAUGAAGUUUGGGUAUUUGUUUACCUACUCAUACUCUUGUUGAGGAACAUCAUGCAACCGUUCAAUGUCCCACUAUUCUUCACUUUUAGGAUCACCACUCUUCCCAUAAUAUGAUGUGGCAUGCAAAAUACGCGGUAACACUUUAGCUAAAGGUAUUAUGGCACCUUUUAGUCGAUUAUCACUAUUAAUGCCUAUCAAUGAGUCAUACACAAAUAUUCUCUUCUAAGCAAGGUGAACUACUCCCAACACCCAGUGUAUACUUCGGACAUUAAUAGGAACAUAGACGAUGUCCACCUCAAACCAUUUCAUGGAAGGAAUUGGGUGAAACCCAUUAACAUAGUCAACAAGAAUAUCAUUUGCUUGCAUUUGGAAUUGAUUCCACUUUUUAGCAUGCUUCUCCCACUUUGCUUUCACAUUUUUCUAUAUAAGAAAAGGUAAAAAAGAAUAGUUAAACUACCAUAAUUUAACUAGUAUUAUGAGGGUCAAUAGUAAAAAGAAACUAUACAUACCCAAAACAUUGUAUACGUGGUGGUAAAAUUUUGAGAAAAGGCAUGGGGCUUUUCUAUUCUCUACUUACGGAAAAAGUAGAAAACAACAUCAAUAUGCUAGACAACAUAUACAAAGAAAAACAUUAGUUAUACUAUUUCAUUAUAAUAACAAUAUGCUAAU